Molecule: long non-coding RNA, 2156 nt
Organism: Ornithodoros turicata
Lineage: Eukaryota; Metazoa; Arthropoda; Arachnida; Ixodida; Argasidae
Exons: 3
Source: RefSeq, a predicted model, not a curated record
UGGCUCCGGUGUCGAUGCACGCUUUGAUUGACGUGUCUUCGUUUAAGGGACUCUGACCACAAACUGUGGGAGCUCUUUCGUACUUGUAGUCGAUAAAGCACCCAACAACGACUCUCCAUGCGAAAAUUCACGCAUUAAAACCCCACGGUUUCUCUAAACUCGAAUUUUAAACAUUCGACUUCAUCCGAGUGCAGCACGCCUAGCGUCAAACCGAGAAAACAUACGUUUAUAUAGAAUAUCCACCCCGGCCCACCAUCAAGAUGACGUCAACACGGGGGCCACUCGCAACACCCACAAUUGGCUCAAACGCGUCACGUGGUCACGCAAUAUCUGUCAAUUUCCUUCGUGAAAUGGCAUUUCUACGUUAAUAUGUUUUUGUUACAGAGCCUCAAGAAGAAAAAUAUACCCUGCAUUUAUCACCUGCAACAGUUUCUACGAUUUUCUUUUCAAUCUGUACACGGCGUUCGAUAUAUGCUUCCGUAUCCGGUCAGCUGUAAUGGAUGCCGUAUGCCGAGCUAUCUAACUGCGAACUUGUGUGACUCCCGGUUCAUCCUCUUUGUUCGGGUCAUUGGGUUGGUGUUGGAGUUGGUCACCAUAUUCUGAACGUUUCACCUAUCGUUGCGGUGUACUGUUCUUGAUCUGCUGCGAAGCGACGAACCGCAACGGCAGUCACUCGCCUCAGCGAACUUCUGUCUGCUGCAUCUCAAAGGAGCAUGGGGACCUGAUGAUACCUUCAACUAAAAAAACCAAAUGUGCUCUCGUGUGGUCCUGACGGAAAAGUAGUAUCAACAAGAACCCUCCACUUUUUCGACCAAGUUAUCGUUAUGAGAUCCUUCUGAUGGCUUCUUACUAGGCUAUGCCGCUCCGAAGCAUUGAGAUGACGAAGCGUCGUGGUAGCUGCACCUCUGCCUUCGAAAGAUGAAUCAGUCAUUCCACACUGUGCUUAGUGGCUUUGUAUAGAGUCUGGCAAAUCCGACAGACUUGGACUGCCUUUUUCAAGAAAGUUUGAAAUAGCAUCCCUUAUGCACCUGCAUUUCAAUUCCAAUCUGUAUUACAAGAAUGACAGACCACUCAACAGAGAUGAACAUCUGAAAGUGAAAGAGCUGGAAUGAAGAUACGUUAAUCUGUGUCAAAGGUUCUUAGUAUGUGUGCGAGUCGAGGACAUAGGUCUCAAGCUUAUUCCUGUCUCCAGAAGAGGUGACAACUAUGCUCCUUCUAUCUAUUAACCAGCUCCACUUUUUAGGGUUCCCUGUAAACUAAUGGAGCACAUCAUGUACUACCACGUUGUCAACCAAGUUGACUCUGUCAAUUUCUUUUUUUAAAUUCCAGCAUGGCUAACGUAAAACUAACGUAGUGGAAUUCGUUCACAGCAUUUCAAACUGUCUUGAUUUCUUGGUCCAUGUAGAUGUAGUAUUCUUUUUAUUUUGUAAGGGCUUUUGACACUGUGCUCUACGCUCGCGUGUUGGCCAAACUAGCCUAAUUAAAAUUUGAUCCUGCUACCUGGAUAUGCAGUUUCUCAACUAACCGUAACUGUGGCGACAACUCGUGAGGAGAACCUAUCAUAUCGCCACCAUGCAGCAUUUGUUAUAUUACAAUCGCUUCACAUUUUAAUCUAGUCAAAAGCAAGGCCUUUUGGUGAUCGGUCUUGUAUAAUUACGUGCCCCUCCGUUAUGUAACACCACACUGGGUUCUUCAACCUAUGAGAGAGAAAUAAAUAUAUUGCCAACUAAAUUGUCUACAAGGCUCGUUAUUCCAUUUCGCCACACUACCACAAGCAAUUGUUAGAGUAGUGGCCCAGGGUAUGAAGCUCGCCACUAAUCAUCAUUCAAACAAAGUUCAUAAUGUAAAAUGCUUUACUCAGAACACUGGCUUAACACAACAAUUAAGAAUAAAGAGAGUAAACGUUUCAUUGCCUAUCCAGGUGGCAUCAUCCCUCCAACAGAGAACAAUCAAAAACAACAUCAAAGGAGUCAAAUCGGUGGUCUGCAUUCCUUUCAUCCAAUGUAUUUCAUACGCUAUUUGGAGGGCACUGUGCCCAUCAGGCAUUUUGACUGUGCAUAUCAAGUUGAGUGCAUAGAAUCUGAUACAACCUACAUUGGCGAGAUAGACAAAAGACGUGGGACAAGACUAAAAGAGCCAGGGCUACUAAUGCUUAC